RNAcentral lists this ribosomal RNA (518 nucleotides) under uncultured Photobacterium sp. RNAcentral describes it as "bacterial SSU rRNA". It matches the Rfam family "Bacterial small subunit ribosomal RNA", at positions 49 to 556 of the family's 1533-position model. Lineage: Bacteria; Pseudomonadati; Pseudomonadota; Gammaproteobacteria; Vibrionales; Vibrionaceae. The record is from RNAcentral.
UAACACAUGCAAGUCGAGCGGUAACAGGAAUUAGCUUGCUAAUUUGCUGACGAGCGGCGGACGGGUGAGUAAUGCCUGGGAAUAUGCCUUAGUGUGGGGGAUAACUAUUGGAAACGAUAGCUAAUACCGCAUAACGUCUUCGGACCAAAGAGGGGGACCUUCGGGCCUCUCGCGCUAAGAUUAGCCCAGGUGGGAUUAGCUAGUUGGUGAGGUAAAGGCUCACCAAGGCAACGAUCCCUAGCUGGUCUGAGGGGAUGAUCAGCCACACUGGAACUGAGACACGGUCCAGACUCCUACGGGAGGCAGCAGUGGGGAAUAUUGCACAAUGGGGGAAACCCUGAUGCAGCCAUGCCGCGUGUAUGAAGAAGGCCUUCGGGUUGUAAAGUACUUUCAGUCGUGAGGAAGGGUAUGUAGUUAAUAGCUGCAUGCCUUGACGUUAGCGACAGAAGAAGCACCGGCUAACUCCGUGCCAGCAGCCGCGGUAAUACGGAGGGUGCGAGCGUUAAUCGGAAUUACUG